This is a non-coding RNA of Arachis ipaensis, 528 nucleotides long. Lineage: Eukaryota; Viridiplantae; Streptophyta; Magnoliopsida; Fabales; Fabaceae. The record is from RefSeq and is a predicted model, not a curated record.
UAAUACCGAAAGUGAUGAAGAGUUUGAAGGUAAUUAUGAAGUUGUUGGUCUAACUGAAGAUGUGGAAAAAGAUGAUAUAUCAGUUAAGGGAGAUGUAGCAGAUGUUGCUAAUGCACUAGUGGAUCAACAUCCAUCGGGAGAGCCAUUGUUUAUGCAUAUUUUGAAUCUUGAUGCCAUGCAUGGCUGUGUGUAUGGCUGUAUGGUAGGCUGAGUGAAAGGUUGUGAAUAUGGUUGUGCGCAUGGUGGGUAUGCAUAUGCUUGUGGAUGUGGUAGGUACGGAUACGGUGGGUAUGUAUAUGGCUGUGAAUAUGGUUGUUGAUCUCCAACGUAAUCGUGCACUCGUCGUGUGGAAGAUGAAAUGUGUGCGUCUCAGGCCGCCACCUUUCAACUAGUGCGUCUAUAGUUGGACCGUGAGACAUGAUCCUUCCAAUCUGAGAUAUAUGAUAGAAUCCGCUCUUUCUGAGUUGUUCUUCCACCCUAGCAUCAUAUGAGUCUAUUUGGUGUAUACGUAAGUGUCUAGUGCGCAAA